GAUGAACGCUAGCGGGAGGCCUAAUACAUGCAAGUCGAGCGGUAGAGUGACUUCGGUUGCUUGAGAGCGGCGCACGGGUGAGUAACGCGUACAUGACCUACCUUUAAGACUGGGAUAGCCCUGGGAAACUGGGAUUAAUACCGGAUGUGAUAAUACGUAUAGAGAUGUAUUAUUAAAGUUGAGGCGCUUAGAGAUGGAUGUGCGUCUGAUUAGCUAGUUGGUAGGUAACGGCCUACCAAGGCUACGAUCAGUAGGGGCGUGAGAGCGUGACCCCCCACACGGGUACUGAGACACGGACCCGACUCCUACGGGAGGCAGCAGUAAGGAAUAUUGGUCAAUGGAGGGAACUCUGAACCAGCAUCCGCGUGCAGGAUGAAGGGGCUCUGCCCUGUAAACUGCUUUUGAAUGGGACGAAAAAGCCUCACUUGUGAGGAACUGACGGUACCAUUAGAAUAAGCACCGGCUAACUCCGUGCCAGCAGCCGCGGU
RNAcentral lists this ribosomal RNA (488 nucleotides) under uncultured bacterium. RNAcentral describes it as "bacterial SSU rRNA". It matches the Rfam family "Bacterial small subunit ribosomal RNA", at positions 28 to 521 of the family's 1533-position model. The record is from RNAcentral.